Molecule: long non-coding RNA, 664 nt
Organism: Homo sapiens (human)
Lineage: Eukaryota; Metazoa; Chordata; Mammalia; Primates; Hominidae
Gene: RPAP3-DT
Product: RPAP3 divergent transcript
Source: Ensembl
AGCCUGGGCUUGAGCGCGCGCAGAAGUCAGCUUCGUGACUUCCUUCUCAGGAUGGAACCAGCUUGGUGGCUUGAGGGAAAGGGGUUCUGAGUUGCAAAUCAGAAACUUGAAGAUGAAAUGGCUACUACGCUGGGUAUUGCCUUUAUCUUGAAUGCCAGCCUGAUGGUCCAAGGUGAACAAGCCUUCCUGUGUUUUCUGAAUGGUAAGAAAAAGUGGGGACACAAGGACAGCAGAAAAGGCAUAGGCUCUGAUUCCGGCUGAUCUCGGCCUGGGUCUCCCUGCCUGGGGAAGGAGGUGUAUGUGUGUGUGCUAAUAUAUAUGUGGUGCUAAUGUAUAAUACAUAUGCUUAUAUGGUGAUAUGGUUUGGCUGUGUCCCCCCUCAAAUCUCAUCUUGAAUGGUAGCUCACAUAAUUCCCAUGUGUCACGGGAGGGACCUGGUGAGAGGUAACUGAAUCAUGGGGACGGGUUUUUCCUGUGCUGGUUCUCGUGAUAGUGAAUAAGUCUCACGAUAUCUUAUGGUUUUAUAAAGUGCAGUUCCCCCGCACUUUGCCUGCCACCAUGUAAGAUGUGUCUUUGCGCCUCCUUUGCCUUCCACCAUGAUUGUGCGGCCUCCCCAGCCAUGUGGAACGGUGAGUCUAUUAAACCUCUUUUUCUUUACAAAUUA